GGAGGGGUAGCUCAGUGGUAGAGCACGUGCUUAGCGCGCACGAGGUCCUGGGCUCCAUCCCCAGUACCUCCG
Molecule: transfer RNA, 72 nt
Filed under: Camelus bactrianus (Bactrian camel)
Lineage: Eukaryota; Metazoa; Chordata; Mammalia; Artiodactyla; Camelidae
Also listed under: 2 other names
Rfam family: tRNA
About the family: Transfer RNA (tRNA) molecules are approximately 80 nucleotides in length. Their secondary structure includes four short double-helical elements and three loops (D, anti-codon, and T loops). Further hydrogen bonds mediate the characteristic L-shaped molecular structure. tRNAs have two regions of fundamental functional importance: the anti-codon, which is responsible for specific mRNA codon recognition, and the 3' end, to which the tRNAs corresponding amino acid is attached (by aminoacyl-tRNA synthetases). tRNAs cope with the degeneracy of the genetic code in two manners: having more than one tRNA (with a specific anti-codon) for a particular amino acid; and 'wobble' base-pairing, i.e. permitting non-standard base-pairing at the 3rd anti-codon position.
Source: Rfam by way of RNAcentral